RNAcentral lists this long non-coding RNA (208 nucleotides) under Manihot esculenta (cassava). RNAcentral describes it as "long non-coding RNA (MESC_LNC012871)". The record is from RNAcentral. Lineage: Eukaryota; Viridiplantae; Streptophyta; Magnoliopsida; Malpighiales; Euphorbiaceae.
GGACGGUAGGAAUUCCGAUACCGGAGUCUAGCCGGGUAUUACAUUCUCCCCCCCUUAAGAACAUUCAUCCCCGAAUGUUCCUCAACUAGCACAUAGCAUGGCAUAAAACAUAACAUACAUACAUAGCACAUAAACACAUAGAGAUCUAACCUUAAAAGAGAUGAGGGUACUGCUGGAGCAUAGACUCCCGUGUCUCCCAAGUGCAUUC